Molecule: unclassified non-coding RNA, 248 nt
Filed under: uncultured Actinomycetes bacterium
Lineage: Bacteria; Bacillati; Actinomycetota; Actinomycetes
Description: uncultured actinobacterium contains 16S-23S intergenic spacer region
Source: RNAcentral
AAGGCUUGACAUAUACCGGAAACACCUAUCUCUAGGUGUUUCCGGUAUAUGUCAAGCCUUGGUAAGGUUCUUCGCGUUGCGUCGAAUUAAGCCACAUGCUCCGCUGCUUGUGCGGGCCCCCGUCAAUUCCUUUGAGUUUUAGCCUUGCGGCCGUACUCCCCAGGCGGGGAACUUAAUGCGUUAGCUGCGGCACCGACGACGUGGAAUGUCGCCAACACCUAGUUCCCAACGUUUACGGCGUGGACUAC